GACGGAGGAUGCAAGCGUUAUCCGGAAUGAUUGGGCGUAAAGCGUCUGCAGGUGGCAGUUCAAGUCUGCUGUCAAAGACCGGGGCUUAACUUCGGAAAGGCAGUGGAAACUGAACAGCUAGAGUAUGGUAGGGGCAGAGGGAAUUCCUGGUGUAGCGGUGAAAUGCGUAGAGAUCAGGAAGAACAUCGAUGGCGAAGGCGCUCUGCUGGACCAUAACUGACACUCAGGGACGAAAGCUAGGGGAGCGAAUGGG
This 253-nucleotide ribosomal RNA is filed under the name uncultured bacterium. RNAcentral's name for it is "partial 16S ribosomal RNA". It matches the Rfam family "Bacterial small subunit ribosomal RNA", at positions 524 to 776 of the family's 1533-position model. The record is from RNAcentral.